GACGAACGCUGGCGGCGUGCCUAAUACAUGCAAGUAGAACGCACAGUUUAUACCGUAGCUUGCUACACCAUAGACUGUGAGUUGCGAACGGGUGAGUAACGCGUAGGUAACCUGCCUGGUAGCGGGGGAUAACUAUUGGAAACGAUAGCUAAUACCGCAUAAUAUUAAUUAUUGCAUGAUAAUUAAUUGAAAGGUGCAAUUGCACCACUACCAGAUGGACCUGCGUUGUAUUAGCUAGUAGGUGAGGUAACGGCUCACCUAGGCGACGAUACAUAGCCGACCUGAGAGGGUGAUCGGCCACACUGGGACAGAGACACGGCCCAGACUCCUACGGGAGGCAGCAGUAGGGAAUCUUCGGCAAUGGACGAAAGUCUGACCGAGCAACGCCGCGUGAGUGAAGAAGGUUUUCGGAUCGUAAAGCUCUGUUGUAAGAGAAGAACGGGUGUGAGAGUGGAAAGUUCACACUGUGACGGUAUCUUACCAGAAAGGGACGGCUAACUACGUG
Molecule: ribosomal RNA, 505 nt
Filed under: uncultured bacterium
Lineage: Bacteria
Description: partial 16S ribosomal RNA
Rfam family: Bacterial small subunit ribosomal RNA
Source: RNAcentral